AAUAAAGUAAAAAAAAAAAAAAAAAAAAAAAACUCAGGAGCAGAGAGAGACUUUUUUUUUUUUUUUAAACAAAUACUAUAUUGUUUAACCCAGUUCUCAUUAAAGACCAUGCUUUACUUGAAGAAGUACUUGACCGAGGGCCUGAUCCAGUUCACCAUCCUGCUCAGCCUGAUCGGGGUGAGGGUCGACGUGGACACCUACCUGAGCGCCCAGCUUCCCCCGCUGCGCGAGAUCAUCCUGGGCCCCAGCUCCGCCUACACCCAGACUCAGUUCCACAACCUCCGCAACACGCUGGACGGCUAUGGCCUGCACCCGAAGAGCGUGGACCUAGACUGCUACUUCACCUCCCGCUGGCUGCUGGGAGAGGUGCGCUCCCUGGACAGGCUGCAGGUUCCCAGCACGGAGCUCAGCGCCUGGCUGGCUUACCGGGACACAGAGGGCCCUGUGGUCUCCAGCCCGCAGUCCGGCAGCGGUGGUGGUGGCAGUGCCCUGGAGAAUGCCAGCGGCGUGCUGGAGGAGAUGGGCAACCUGGAGAAUUCGGCUGUGAGGGGCAACGGGACCCUGGACCAGGGCUACGGCCAGGAACUGGAGGAGAACCUGGGGGCUGUGGCUCCAGGAGACAGCAGUGAACUCAACGACGACAGCAGCAGAAGCAACCUGACUAAAGAGGAUAUUGAUCUGAUUGACAUCCUGUGGCGGCAGGACAUCGACCUGGGCGCGGGGCGAGAGGUGUUCGACUACAGCAGCCGCCAGAAAGAGAACAAGGUGGAGAAGAGACCCAGCGAGGAGGAGGAAGAGCGGACGGGAGAGAGCUGGAGGAACAGCCUGAACCAGGGGCAGGGGGAGGGGCCUGUGGACGGAGAGACUGGAGAGAGCAUCCCACAGCAGUUGCACAGCCUUGUGGACCAAACCUCCCCGUCUCUACAAGAAUGCCUCAGUCUGCUGGAAGCCACUUUCCCUUUUGUAGAAGAGACCGAGUUCCCAGGCUCCGUGUAUCCAGAGCUGGAGGACCCCAGUGAAGCGGGACCCUCCACUUCCAGCUCCCAGGGACCCCUGCUCUCUCCCCUGCUGUCCCAGACUGACUCUCCUCUGGACCGGGAGCAGCAGUGGCAGGAUAUCAUGGCCAUCAUGGAUCUGCAGGACAUGGAAAUAAAUGAAGCCACCGACCCUUCCUUCAACACCAGCACCAGCAGCAGUGGAGUGGACACAGGGUCCCUGGCUGACUUCAGCUUCUCCGCCCACACCCCCAUCAACCAGGACGUGAGCCUCCACCAGGCCUCCCUGCCCAGCUGCAACCAGGACUUCCCGGGGGGAUUCUACUGCCCCGAGCUCGGCUCCUGCCCCAUGGAGGACAUGGGGACCUCCCCCCCCGCCUCCCUGCUCCACCUCUCCUCCAGCAACUCCAGCAACAUCGACUCCACCUUCGGAGCGCCCAACCUGACAGAUGUGCUCCUGCCCCCGCAGCUCAACGGCUCCGCCAACGGCACGGGGCUGCAGGACCCGCUCGCCGGGCUGCUGGAGGAGGCCCUUCUGGAUGAGAUCAGCCUGCUGGACUUGGCCCUGGUGGAGGGGUUCAACCCAGCCCAGGCCUCCCGGCUGAGGGAGGAGUUCGAUUCAGACUCGGGGCUGUCACUCGACUUCAGCCGGAGCCCCGCCUCCCCGAGCGGCUCCGAGACCUCCUCUUCUUCAUCUUCGUCGUCCUCUACAUCGUCGUUCUCGGAAGAAGGGGCGGUGGGCUACAGCACAGACUCGGAAGCGGUGGAUUUCGAGGAGGGGGGAGCGGUAGGGGGUUGCUACCAGCCCGAGUUCAGCAAGUUCUGCCGCAUGAGCUACCAGGACCCCUCCCGAUUCAGCCACCUCCCCCAGCUGGAGCACGUGGCCCACAACCACACCUACAACCUGGCCCCGUCCCACCCAGACCUCCCCUCUGCUCCAGGAAAGAAGAGCGCGGGCAGGGAGAAGCAGCAGCAGCAGCAAGACUUGCUGGACAAGCAGCAGAGCAGAGACGAGAGGAGAGCCCGGGCCAUGAAAAUCCCCUUCUCCAACGAGAAGAUCGUCCACCUGCCCGUGGAGGAGUUCAACGAGCUGUUGUCGAAACACCAGCUGAGCGAGGCCCAGCUCGCCCUGGUCCGGGACAUCCGCCGCCGGGGCAAGAACAAGAUGGCAGCCCAGAACUGCCGCAAGAGGAAGCUGGACACCAUCCUGAACCUGGAGCGGGGCGUGGAGGCGCUGCGCAGGGACAAGGCGAGGCUGCUGCGGGAGAAAGUGGAGUUCGUCCGGUCCCUCAGGCAGAUGAAGCAGAAGAUGCAGAGCCUGCACCAGGAGGUGUUCUCCAGGCUGCGGGAUGAGAGCGGGAGGCCCUACCCGGCUGGAGAGUUCUCCCUGCAGUAUGGCAGCGACGGCAGCGUCCUCCUCGUGCCCAGGAGCUUCCGCGACGAGCAGCAGCAGCCGUCUAGGAAGCCAGAGAAGAAACCGAAAGACAAGAAGAAGUGAGAGUAAUGUGAUCUGAGAUUUUUUGCGACUUGUCUGAAGAAGAAGAAGAAAGAAAUGGGAAUGACGUGAUGGUGUAGAUUUAAAUAACGUCGACUGUUUAUCCUGCAUCGGGAAAGGAGCUGCAUUCGUUAGGACAAGUGGAACAGAGUUAGCCACCGGACGGACCGACGACAACGUUGUUUGGGAAUAACUAAAACUUGGCCAGAGCAGGUUCUGGAGAGUGACCGAAGUGAAUCGUUUGAGCCCACGGCCUGGCGUAGGAGGGGCUGUUGCUAAGCCUGCUGUUGUAUAUUUGUGCAUAACUUCAUAUAUACGCAGUAAACAGGGCUUGGCUGCAGUGCACUGGCUGUGGAGUGUAUGGGUUAAAGCAGUUUGCAGAUCACUGCAGAGGCCGGAUACACCAGAGUGAAGAGAAACUAUGUUUUGACUUGCAGCUUCAAGCUCAGCAACCGUGCAUCUAGUCCAGUGUGCAUAAUACAUGCAUGUAUUGCUUCUGGGGUGUCCCAACCCCAGUAUACUGGAGCACCAUCAGAUUUUAAAACAUUCUUCUGCAGUGUCCCUUUCCUCGGCACAACUGGGCAGAUGUUCGUAAGACGUGGGUUUUUUAAUUUUUUUUUUACUUGCAGCAUGUAUGGACGGGGGUAUUAUUAUUAUUAUUAUUAUUAUUAUUGGUGUCUUUUUUUUGUUUGUUUUGUAUAGCUGGAAGAUUAUAAAAAUUUCGAUUAUUAGUAUUUUUUUUUUUUUUUUUUUUUUGAGGCUGAUACCACUUAUUUAAACAUUUUGAGAAAAUAAAAUUCAAAUGCAGGGAAACUUACUGAACCCCGGUUAUCCGAACACCUGUUAUCCGAACCCCCCGGUUAUCCAAACAGCCCCUCGUCAGCCUGUCCUGUGCUCUUCUGCCCUAUUUGCAAAGAUACGCUGACCAUCCCUCAAUCUCAUAUCUAAAGAACAGCACAGUGCUGUACGCUCUAUACUUGCAGGCAAAGGGGUGAAUUAUAUUUAUUUAGGAGGACUCUUAAUUGGGGAGUCAUGCGCAAAAAAGUCAGUGUCAUAAUUGGAUUAUCAGAACAAUUGGUUCGGAGAAUAGAAGUGUUACUCUAUAGUUUCCCCCGAAUUUACACCAUUGUUUUGAAAUUAUCAUCAUAAUAAAAAACAUCGAUAAAAAGGCCUUAAAACAGCAGACAUAACCAAUAGACUUAUUGGGAAUAAGAAGGCACUUGCUGUGUACAAAGUGGGGGGUCAUACAUGUAGUGUGAUGAGUAACCCAACAUACAGCCCUUGAGCUAGUUUUACAUGACAGCUAACAUUAGAAAACAUUAUUUAUUUUUUUUGCUUCAUGGAAAAUGUCUUUUUCAUUCAUUAAAAAAAAUGAGAACGUAUUACAGAUGACGUUGGAGAAAAUAAUAUUUUGGGUUGCAGUUAAUUUUUUCCAAAAUUAAUUGGAUUAUCACUGGAAUUAAACACCAUGUUGAGUGUUAGCUAUCAGAAAGAAAAUGUGAUUUAAAAAAAAAUGUUUUUUCACUAACAAACGUAUUUCAUUACAGUACUUGAAAAGUUACUCAAUUAUUACAUACAAGGGUUUUUGUUUUGUUUUUUGCUUUCAAAAAAAUGAUAGAUACACUGGGAUAAAUAAAAAUUUGAAAGCACCUUUUAAAAAAAAUGAUUAUUUUUUUUGGUUGCUUUUAAAAAAUACAUAUCGAAAUA
This is an RNA transcript of Polyodon spathula (Mississippi paddlefish), 4197 nucleotides long. It is a transcript of the gene named endoplasmic reticulum membrane sensor NFE2L1-like, with no coding region annotated. The transcript has 7 exons. Lineage: Eukaryota; Metazoa; Chordata; Actinopteri; Acipenseriformes; Polyodontidae. The record is from RefSeq and is a predicted model, not a curated record.